Molecule: ribosomal RNA, 305 nt
Filed under: uncultured bacterium
Lineage: Bacteria
Description: bacterial SSU rRNA
Rfam family: Bacterial small subunit ribosomal RNA
Source: RNAcentral
UCCUACGGGGGGCAGCAGUGAGGAAUAUUGGUCAAUGGUCGGGAGACUGAACCAGCCAAGCCGCGUGAAGGAGGAAGGUACAGAGUAUCGUAAACCUCUUUUGUCAGGGAACAAAGGCGGGGACGUGUCCCCGGAUGAGUGUACCUGAAGAAAAAGCAUCGGCUAACUCCGUGCCAGCAGCCGCGGUAAUACGGAGGAUGCGAGCGUUAUCCGGAUUUAUUGGGUUUAAAGGGUGCGCAGGCGGUCUGUUAAGUCAGCGGUCAAAUCCCGGGGCUCAACCCCGGCCCGCCGUUGAAACUGGUGUU